GAUGAACGCUGGCGGCGUGCUUAACACAUGCAAGUCGAACGGAAAGACCCAAGCUUGCUUGGGUACUCGAGUGGCGAACGGGUGAGUAACACGUGGGUGAUCUGCCCUGCACUUCGGGUUAAGCAUGGGAAACUGGGUCUAAUACCGGAUAGGACGAUGGUAUGGAUGCCAUGGUGGAACGUUUUUACGGUGUGGGAUGAGGUCGCGGCCUAACAGCUUGUGGGUGGGGUACUGGCCUACCAAGGCGUCGACGGGUAGCCGGCCUGAGAGGGUGGACGGCCGCAUUAGGACCCAGCGGCAGCCCAGACUGGUGCAUGUGGGAGCAUGGGGGAAUGUUUCACCAUGCACUGCCGCGUGAAGCAGCGAGGCCGUCUGGGGGUAGACGGCCUUCGUGUUGUAAGAACCGUUCGCGGGUGACGCAGCGUUUUUAUGACGGUACCGGGAGAAGAAGCACCGGCUAACUACGUG
RNAcentral lists this ribosomal RNA (468 nucleotides) under uncultured bacterium. RNAcentral describes it as "partial 16S ribosomal RNA". It matches the Rfam family "Bacterial small subunit ribosomal RNA", at positions 28 to 507 of the family's 1533-position model. The record is from RNAcentral.